Molecule: ribosomal RNA, 372 nt
Filed under: uncultured organism
Description: bacterial SSU rRNA
Rfam family: Bacterial small subunit ribosomal RNA
Source: RNAcentral
CGUAGGUGGCAAGCGUUGUCCGGAAUUAUUGGGCGUAAAGCGCGCGCAGGCGGUUCCUUAAGUCUGAUGUGAAAGCCCCCGGCUCAACCGGGGAAGGUCAUUGGAAACUGGGAAACUUGAGUGCAGAAGAGAAGAGCGGAAUUCCACGUGUAGCGGUGAAAUGCGUAGAGAUGUGGAGGAACACCAGUGGCGAAGGCGGCUCUUUGGUCUGUAACUGACGCUGAGGCGCGAAAGCGUGGGGAGCAAACAGGAUUAGAUACCCUGGUAGUCCACGCCGUAAACGAUGAGUGCUAAGUGUUAGAGGGUUUCCGCCCUUUAGUGCUGCAGCUAACGCAUUAAGCACUCCGCCUGGGGAGUACGGCCGCAAGGCUG